RNAcentral lists this ribosomal RNA (384 nucleotides) under uncultured bacterium. Its description in RNAcentral is "bacterial SSU rRNA". It matches the Rfam family "Bacterial small subunit ribosomal RNA", at positions 29 to 416 of the family's 1533-position model. The record is from RNAcentral.
AUUGAACACUGGCGGAAUGCUUUACACAUGCAAGUCGAGCGGCAGCGCGGGGCAACCUGGCGGCGAGCGGCGAACGGGUGAGUAAUGCAUCGGAACGUACCCAGUCGUGGGGGAUAACGUGGCGAAAGUCACGCUAAUACCGCAUACGUCUUGAGGGAGAAAGCAGGGGAUCGCAAGACCUUGCGCGAUUGGAGCGGCCGAUGUCUGAUUAGCUAGUUGGUGGGGUAAAGGCCUACCAAGGCGACGAUCAGUAGCUGGUCUGAGAGGACGAUCAGCCACACUGGGACUGAGACACGGCCCAGACUCCUACGGGAGGCAGCAGUGGGGAAUUUUGGACAAUGGGCGAAAGCCUGAUCCAGCCAUUCCGCGUGAGUGAAGAAGGCC